RNAcentral lists this long non-coding RNA (608 nucleotides) under Homo sapiens (human). RNAcentral's name for it is "HSALNT0070786". Lineage: Eukaryota; Metazoa; Chordata; Mammalia; Primates; Hominidae. The record is from RNAcentral.
UGAACAGAAAAAUUAAGAAGAACCUGAAAUUAAUAAAUACCUAGGUAUUUGUCAGCUGUAAUUCCAGCAGAAACUGUGGCCUCUUCUGAGUGUGGCCUUUGAAUUCACCAAGGCUCGGCUAGAUUCACUCUCAGUAACCUAGGAGAAACUGGAACUUUAAAUAACUAAAAGAAACAAAAUCUUCAUUUCAACUCACCUGUGUGCAUGGAAGCCAUUUUUCUCCCGUUAAGCUGACAUUUCUGUGAGUUGACAGGUCUAUCACUCAGAGCCUCAGACACUUCAAAGACUUCUUAGAACUUCAGGAAUGUCUGAAAAUUUUUAAUGUGAAAGUCAGAAUGUCUGGUUUUAUUAAGAAUUGGUCGUAUCAUUUAUGUAAUCAUCCUGGGACUGUUCUACUGCUGAAAACAACAAAAUGUUCAAAUUAUAUAAAGUGGGGCUGAAACAUGGAAUAUAUAUGAUUUACCAUUCUUUUAAAAAAAAUAAAUGCCAAAAUAAAUUUUGACAAAUUGGAAAACAAAAAAUUUAAAAAAAUUAAAGUCAUUUAAAAUUAUUUAUUUCACCUUAUUUUUGCAUAAAUAUAAGCUUGCAUAUAAUUUGUUUAUAUAAGC